AGCAGCCGCGGUAAUUCCAGCUCCAAUAGCGUAUAUUAAAGUUGUUGCAGUUAAAAAGCUCGUAGUUGAAUUUCGGGACUAAUAUGUCGGUCGUACUUUGUACGUACUAGCAUUAUUGGUUUCUCCCUUCUGACGAACCACGAUGUCAUUAAUUUGGUGUCGCGGGAAAUCAGGACUGUUACUUUGAAAAAAUUAGAGUGUUUAAAGCAAGCUCGCGCUUGAAUACAUUAGCAUGGAAUAAUGAAAUAGGACGUUUGAUUCUAUUUUGUUGGUUUCUAGGAUCGACGUAAUGAUUAAUAGGGAUAGUUGGGGGCAUUAGUAUUCAAUUGUCAGAGGUGAAAUUCUUGGAUUUAUUGAAGACUAACUACUGCGAAAGCAUUUGCCAAGGAUGUUUUCAUUAAUCAAGAACGAAAGUUAGGGGAUCGAAGACGAUCAGAUACCGUCGUAGUCUUAACCAUAAACUAUGCCGACUAGGGAUCGGAUGAUGUAAUUUUUAAUGACUCAUUCGGCGCCUUACGGG
This 520-nucleotide ribosomal RNA is filed under the name uncultured Glomus. Its description in RNAcentral is "SSU rRNA". It matches the Rfam family "Eukaryotic small subunit ribosomal RNA", at positions 569 to 1094 of the family's 1831-position model. Lineage: Eukaryota; Fungi; Glomeromycota; Glomeromycetes; Glomerales; Glomeraceae. The record is from RNAcentral.